GAUGAACGCUGGCGGCGUGCCUAAUACAUGCAAGUCGAGCGAAUGGAUUAAGAGCUUGCUCUUAUGAAGUUAGCGGCGGACGGGUGAGUAACACGUGGGUAACCUGCCCAUAAGACUGGGAUAACUCCGGGAAACCGGGGCUAAUACCGGAUAAUAUUUUGAACUGCAUGGUUCAAAAUUGAAAGGCGGCUUCGGCUGUCACUUAUGGAUGGACCCGCGUCGCAUUAGCUAGUUGGUGAGGUAACGGCUCACCAAGGCAACGAUGCGUAGCCGACCUGAGAGGGUGAUCGGCCACACUGGGACUGAGACACGGCCCAGACUCCUACGGGAGGCAGCAGUAGGGAAUCUUCCGCAAUGGACGAAAGUCUGACGGAGCAACGCCGCGUGAGUGAUGAAGGCUUUCGGGUCGUAAAACUCUGUUGUUAGGGAAGAACAAGUGCUAGUUGAAUAAGCUGGCACCUUGACGGUACCUAACCAGAAAGCCACGGCUAACUACGUGCCAGCCGCCGCUGUAA
RNAcentral lists this ribosomal RNA (515 nucleotides) under uncultured bacterium. RNAcentral describes it as "partial 16S ribosomal RNA". It matches the Rfam family "Bacterial small subunit ribosomal RNA", at positions 28 to 523 of the family's 1533-position model. The record is from RNAcentral.